RNAcentral lists this ribosomal RNA (498 nucleotides) under uncultured bacterium. Its description in RNAcentral is "partial 16S ribosomal RNA". It matches the Rfam family "Bacterial small subunit ribosomal RNA", at positions 29 to 523 of the family's 1533-position model. The record is from RNAcentral.
AUUGAACGCUGGCGGCAUGCCUUACACAUGCAAGUCGAACGGUAACGCGGGGCAACCUGGCGACGAGUAGCGAACGGGUGAGUAAUGCAUCGGAACGUGCCCAGUAGUGGGGGAUAGCCCGGCGAAAGCCGGAUUAAUACCGCAUACGACCUACGGGUGAAAGCGGGGGACCGUAAGGCCUCGCGCUAUCGGAGCGGCCGAUGUCAGAUUAGGUUGUUGGUGGGGUAAAGGCCUACCAAGCCGACGAUCUGUAGCUGGUCUGAGAGGACGACCAGCCACACUGGGACUGAGACACGGCCCAGACUCCUACGGGAGGCAGCAGUGGGGAAUUUUGGACAAUGGGGGCAACCCUGAUCCAGCCAUGCCGCGUGCGGGAAGAAGGCCUUCGGGUUGUAAACCGCUUUUGUCAGGGAAGAAACGCUCUGGGCUAAUACCCUGGGGUAAUGACGGUACCUGAAGAAUAAGCACCGGCUAACUACGUGCCAGCCGCCGCAGUAA